Molecule: ribosomal RNA, 1395 nt
Filed under: Alexandrium minutum
Lineage: Eukaryota; Dinophyceae; Gonyaulacales; Pyrocystaceae
Description: partial large subunit ribosomal RNA
Rfam family: Eukaryotic large subunit ribosomal RNA
Source: RNAcentral
AUGACCAAUGGGAUUCCUUAAGUAAUUGCGAAUGAACAAGGAAAUGCUCAGCUUGAAAAAUGGGGCCUUUGGCUUUGAAUUGUAAUUUUGAAAUGUAUUGCCAAUGGAGGCGCAGGUGCAAGCCUAUUGAAAGAAAGCGUCAACGAGGGUGAAAUUCCUUUUUGUCAUUUGCAGUCCUCCGUGCACGGUAUAUAUUUGACGAGUCACACUCCUCGGCAUUGGAAUGCAAAGUGGGUGGUAAAUUCCAUGUAAAGGUAAAUAUAUUAUUGAGACUGAUAGCAAACAAGUACCAUGAGGGAAAUAUGAAAAGGACUUUGAAAAGGGAAUUAAAAGAGUCUGCAUUUGCUGAACAGAAAGCAAACAGAAUUGAUGUGCUUGGUGAGAUUGUUGUGCCCACUCUGUCAUUUAUGUCGGAUGUGGGUGCGAUGGUUCUUACCUUGAAUGUCAGCUUCUAUUUCUGCAAAUCAUUACCCUUGCACAUGAAUGGUAAUUUGCCUGCGGGUAUUGGAAUGUAUGUGUUUGCAAUGAUUUGUGAUUUGAUGCAUGUGGUUGGUGGACUUUGUAUGUGCUGUUUUGCCAACGGGGAAGGGACUCUUCCUUGAGCACUGCAAGCCCUUGCACAUUGAUGCUGGCAAAAUGUUUCUGCUUGACCCGUCUUGAAACACGGACCAAGGAGUCUAACAGAUGUGCAAGUGCGUGGGUGGCAAACCUACUAACACAAUGAAAGUAUUGGCUGGGAUAUUUGCACCAGCAGCCGACUGAUUAGCAGACAGAGGUUUGAGUUUGAGCAUAUCUAUUAGGACCCGAAAGAUGGUGAACUAUGCCUGAACAGAAUGAAUUCAGAGGAAACUCUGAUGGAGGUUCGUAUCGAUACUGACGUGCAAAUCGUUCGUCAUACUUGGGUAUAGGGGCGAAAGACUAAUCGAACCAUCUAGUAGCUGGUUCCCUCCGAAGUUUCCCUCAGGAUAGCUGGAGUUGCACAGUUUUAUCAGGUAAAGCGAAUGAUUAGAGGAAUUGGGGACACGCUGUCCUUGACCUAUUCUCAAACUUUAAAUGGGUAAGAUGCAAUGGUUGCUUUAUUGAACUUUUGGAAUAAAUGGCAAUAUCAGGUGGGCCAUUUUUGGUAAGCAGAACUGGCGAUGAGGGAUGAACCUAACGUUGGGUUAAGGUGCUUAAUUGCUUGCUCAUUAGAUACCAGAAAGGGUGUUGGUUCAUUUUAACAGCAGGACGGUGGUCAUGGAAGUCGAAAUCCGCUAAGGAGUGUGUAACAACUCACCUGCCGAAUGGACUAGCCCCGAAAAUGGAUGGCGCUCAAGCGGGUGACCGAUACCCAACCACUGUUGGAAAUAGUAUCAGUGUGUAGGAGGGCAUGGCGGUUUGUGAUGCAGCCUUUGG